RNAcentral lists this ribosomal RNA (507 nucleotides) under uncultured Glomeraceae. RNAcentral describes it as "SSU rRNA". It matches the Rfam family "Eukaryotic small subunit ribosomal RNA", at positions 569 to 1079 of the family's 1831-position model. Lineage: Eukaryota; Fungi; Glomeromycota; Glomeromycetes; Glomerales; Glomeraceae. The record is from RNAcentral.
AGCAGCCGCGGUAAUUCCAGCUCCAAUAGCGUAUAUUAAAGUUGCUGCAGUUAAAAAGCUCGUAGUUGAAUUUCGGGACUAAUAUGUCGGUCGUGCCUCGGUACGUACUGGUAUUUUUGGUUUCUCCCUUCUGACGAACCUUGAUGUCAUUAAUUUGGUGUCUUGGGGAAUCAGGACUGUUACUUUGAAAAAUUAGAGUGUUUAAAGCAGGCUCACGCUUGAAUACAUUAGCAUGGAAUAAUGAAAUAGGACGUUUGAUUCUAUUUUGUGUUUCUAGGAUUGACGUAAUGAUUAAUAGGGAGUAGUUGGGGGCGAUUAGUAUUCAAUUGUCAGAGGUGAAAUUCUUGGAUUUAUUGAAGACUAACUACUGCGAAAGCAUUUGCCAAGGAUGUUUUCUAUUAAUCAAAGAACGAAAGUUAGGGGAUCGAAGACGAUCAGAUACCGUCGUAGUCUUAACCAUAAACUAUGCCGACUAGGGAUCGAUGAUGGUGUAUUUUUAAUGACUCA